UACGUAGGUGGCGAGCGUUAUCCGGAAUUACUGGGUGUAAAGGGUGAGUAGGCGGGGAAGCAAGUCAGAUGUGAAAUGCAAAGGCUUAACCUUUGAAUUGCAUUUGAAACUGUUUUUCUUGAGGGUCGGAGAGGUAAUCGGAAUUCCUAGUGUAGCGGUGAAAUGCGUAGAUAUUAGGAGGAACACCAGUGGCGAAGGCGGAUUACUGGACGACUGCUGACGCUGAAUCACGAAAGCGUGGGGAG
This 245-nucleotide ribosomal RNA is filed under the name uncultured Eubacteriales bacterium. Its description in RNAcentral is "uncultured Clostridiales bacterium partial 16S ribosomal RNA". It matches the Rfam family "Bacterial small subunit ribosomal RNA", at positions 524 to 768 of the family's 1533-position model. The record is from RNAcentral. Lineage: Bacteria; Bacillati; Bacillota; Clostridia; Eubacteriales.